Small nucleolar RNA from Elaeis guineensis (African oil palm), 107 nucleotides. RefSeq annotates it as small nucleolar RNA Z278. The record is from RefSeq and is a predicted model, not a curated record. Lineage: Eukaryota; Viridiplantae; Streptophyta; Magnoliopsida; Arecales; Arecaceae.
GCCAUAUGUUGAUGUUUAUGGGGUUAGCUAGCUCCAAGUCCCUGUUUUACAAGGGGAACCUACUUGGGCUGUUACAUUCAAAUGAUAUGAAUGGACUUCUCUGAGGC